RNAcentral lists this ribosomal RNA (253 nucleotides) under uncultured bacterium. Its description in RNAcentral is "partial 16S ribosomal RNA". It matches the Rfam family "Bacterial small subunit ribosomal RNA", at positions 524 to 776 of the family's 1533-position model. The record is from RNAcentral.
UACAGAGGUCUCAAGCGUUGUUCGGAUUCAUUGGGCGUAAAGGGUGCGUAGGUGGUGAGGUAAGUCGGAUGUGAAAGCUCGGAGCUCAACUCCGAAAUGGCAUUGGAAACUACCUUGCUCGAGGGAUGGAGGGGGGACUGGAAUUCUCGGUGUAGCAGUGAAAUGCGUAGAUAUCGAGAGGAACACCAGUGGCGAAGGCGAGUCCCUGGACAUCUCCUGACACUGAGGCACGAAAGCUAGGGGAGCAAACAGG